Molecule: ribosomal RNA, 201 nt
Filed under: uncultured bacterium
Lineage: Bacteria
Description: partial 16S ribosomal RNA
Rfam family: Bacterial small subunit ribosomal RNA
Source: RNAcentral
ACGCUCGACACCUACGGGAGGCAGCAGUUAGGAAUAUUGGGCAAUGGAGGAAACUCUGACCCAGCAACGCCGCGUGAAGGAAGAAGGUUUUCGGAUUGUAAACUUCUGAUCUAGGGGAAGAAGGAAGUGACGGUACCCUAGGAGAAAGCCACGGCUAACUACGUGUCAGCAGCCGCGGUAAUCUGAGCGGGCUGGCAAGGC